RNAcentral lists this ribosomal RNA (442 nucleotides) under uncultured bacterium. RNAcentral's name for it is "partial 16S ribosomal RNA". It matches the Rfam family "Bacterial small subunit ribosomal RNA", at positions 338 to 795 of the family's 1533-position model. The record is from RNAcentral.
CCUACGGGUGGCAGCAGUAGGGAAUCUUUCACAAUGGGCGAAAGCCUGAUGGAGCAACGCCGCGUGCAGGAUGAAGGCCUUCGGGUUGUAAACUGCUUUUAUAAGCGAGACAUAUGAUGGUAACUUAUGAAUAAGGAUCGGCUAACUACGUGCCAGCAGCCGCGGUCAUACGUAGGAUCCGAGCAUUAUCCGGAGUGACUGGGUGUAAAGAGUUUCGUAGGUGGCAUAAUAAGUAGCUAGUGAAAUCUGGUGGCUCAACCAUUCAGACUAUUAGCUAAACUGUUAAGCUCGAGACCGUUAGGAGUAACUGGAAGUUCUAGUGUAGGAGUGAAAUCCGUAGAUAUUAGAAAGAACACCGAUUGCGAAGGCAGCUUACUAAACUGUGACUGACAUUGAUGCUCGAAAGUGUGGGUAUCAAACAGGAUUAGAUACCCUUGUAGUC